CUCACUGAGAUGCUUCAAUCAGAGGCUGAUCUUGUCAGAAAAGGUUCAGGUAGCUUUGAGGCUCCGCACAUUUCUGACAGGUGAUGGAAACUCGUGGAAAAACGAAACGCACAAGUGGACAAUAUGGAUGAUUGAUUUAGCUCCAGAUCAGAACUGGUCGAGCACAGGCGCGUUCGUGCAUCAUUUGGUGUCAUGGCAACAGAAGGUGACGCGCACCUAUAAAAGGCCGGUUGACUUUCAAAAACGUUCUCUUUUGCAUUUGGACAUUUACUUGAACGGGUGCAAAUUGACCAGCCUGCUGCAAAGCUAGCAAUUUUUGGAAAGCCUUUUGGAAAACACUGUGAACACUUCGUUGGACAUCCCAAGGACCUUGUUAAGAAGAAGCUCACCGUCAGCAUGAAGAGGACGCUGGACUUCAUCUCCUGGCCGGACUCCUCCAGGUACCUCCCUUACCCCUUACCUCUCCAUCCUCCUGCCUCCUCCCUCUCUCACUAUCCUUUUGCUCCCCUCCCUCCCCCUCCUUUCCUAUCUCCUCCUGCCCCUCUCGCUCUGCUUUUUCUCCCCUCCCUCACUCCAUCUCUCUUCUUCCUUCCGUCUCUCCUCCUCCUCCUACCUCCAUCUCUCCUUCUCCCCCUCCUCUUCCCCCCUCCUCUCCUGUCUCCUCCCCUUCCUCUUCUAGGUACAGGACCUCCACUCCUCCUUCCUCCCCCCCUCCUUUCAAGCGUCGUCGCUGUUCUUCCCCCCCUCCUCCCUUCCGCCCUUGGUCCUUUUACACUCUCCCUGUCCCUCCCUCUCCCCCCCACACUUUCCUCUCCACUUCCUACACCUGUCCCAACCCUAUCCCUGUCUCCUUCUCCCCUCCUCCCUCUCCUCCUCCUUCUCCUCCUCCUCUUCCCCCCUCCUCUUCUAUCUCCUCCCCCUCUCGCUCUUCUUCUCCCCCUCCUCACAUCCUCACAUUCUUCUCUCUCUUUUUCCCUGACACUGUUCUUUCUCUCCUCCCUCGCUCUGACUCUCCCCCUUAUCUUCACCCAUACACUCUAGACUAGACUCUAUGAUUCUCACCUAUCUCCUCCCCCACCUCCCUUUCGCACUCUUCUUUUUCUCCCUUCCCUCCACCUCUCUCUCCUAUCUCCUCCUCUCUUCCUUAUUCUGACCGGGCGCUGGAGUUGCAGGAUAUCGGAGGCUGCCACCACUCUUCUUCCUAUCCAAGUUUUUCUGUUGAAGGACCUCCUGACAAACGUACAGGCUCAGUCUAGUCUAUCAUGCAGGAGGUCCCCUCUUAACAAUUUUUACUAAUCAUUGUGUGAGUUUCUCUCCCCAGAAGCCUCCUGCCAGCCAACCUCCAGGGAAGAAGGUUCGCAAACCUUCCAUUCCAUUAGAUUUACCCCGUUUCAUUUUAAACAUUUUAGCUACGUGUGAUUUUCUGGAUGUGAUCUGGUCAGAUUUUAUUUGGAUUUCUUGUGAUUAUGUCUGAUCAGAUCUAUUCCAACUUUACUUGAAUGAAUUUUCUUCCAUUGUAUUUUGUGUGAUUCUUUGAGCUCGGUUCUUGUCGGUGGGACUCUGGUCAGGGUGCCUGUCAGAGGUGUGGGCGGAUCUGGGGGGGAUUGUGGGAAACCUCCUGUGGUCCCCCUCCUCUUACAGUGAAGCUCCGCUCUGUCAGAAGGUGAACAGGAUGCAGACGGCACGUCACAGAGAAGCGACAUGUGUGUGUCUGUAUCCCACCCUGGACCCACAGUGGAGUCCACAGUGACAAGAUCACAGUUCAGGAGAGUCACAGCGGGAUUAAUGGGGGUGGUUAAAUGUGUUAUUUAAGAUAGUAAAUGUAGUGUGAGGGUGAAGGCCUCGCUGCCAGAGGGAAGUUUCCAGAAGAACAGGCACAUAAGGAUCCCUGUGAAUGCUGCUGCAUGAAAAGACCGAUGAUCCCGGGACCCAAGACCAAGACAAGGACGACCCCAAAAGACGACUUGAAGAUGAGUGACCGAGCCCCAACAGAGAUGAAGCCAGAGACGACGACCAGCCGGUGAGGAGAAGAAAGAACAACUUUAUCGAGACUUUACUGGACGCACUGGUUUGUCUGGAUCUGGAGCUGCAUGUUUCUGAUCUGCUGUUAUCGGCCUCAGCAACCUCCAAACUAUUCAUCUUCUUACCUUCCACUCUACCCCUCAACACAACCAGAGGUUUUUUUUUUCCUCACCCCAAAUGGAGUUUUUUUUUUUAACUUCCUAACAACAGGAAGUUUUUUUUCCUCCACACUGGUACCAUGUGCUUGAUCUGAUCAUACUGCAAAAAGAGAGAUCCUCAAAUAAAAACAAAACAACACAAUAGAACUGUAUGUUUGUUUAAAAAUGUAACCUAAUGCACUCUUCCUUUUAGACUUAUUAUUGGAGAGCAUGUUUUAUGGCUAGCAAACUUCAUUCAUCUAAAAAACAUGGUUUCAAACCACUGGUUUCUCACAAACACCUGGACUCCAUCUUAAAACUGCACAGCAUUUGAACAUACUGAUGGUUGUGUGAUUACUUGGAGUAAAUGCACGAGACAGUAAAUUUGCUAAAUACAUAGAUGCUGCAUGAUUAGUAUUAACAGAAUGUACUAAUUUGCACUGAGAUAAAAACAAAAAACUAUACUACAAAUUCUGCAGGGUUUCUAUUAUAGUAUUUUGGAUAAUGUGCUGUAAGACUUUAUAACAUCAGCAUCAUUGGCUGAUGUUAACAUAAACCAGACUGAUAUCAUAUCAAACCAUAAAAUUUGCACAGCAUUCUUGCACAGUGGCAUUUUUGCACUUCUGAAUUUAUUUUCAAGUAUUUAUUAGUUUUUAUUUUUCAUCCUUGUACAUAUUGUAAUUAUUAUGUUUAUUUCCUGGUGUAAAUAUGCUUGCUGCUGUAACAAUGUGAAUUUCCCCUGGCAUGGGGAGCAAUAAAAGAUUAUCUUAGC
Long non-coding RNA from Acanthochromis polyacanthus (spiny chromis), 2931 nucleotides. RefSeq lists it as uncharacterized. The transcript has 4 exons. The record is from RefSeq and is a predicted model, not a curated record. Lineage: Eukaryota; Metazoa; Chordata; Actinopteri; Pomacentridae.